RNAcentral lists this ribosomal RNA (326 nucleotides) under uncultured bacterium. RNAcentral's name for it is "bacterial SSU rRNA". It matches the Rfam family "Bacterial small subunit ribosomal RNA", at positions 200 to 507 of the family's 1533-position model. The record is from RNAcentral.
GGGAAAGUCGGGGACCGCAAGGCCUGACGCGAUUGGAUGAGCCCAUGUUCGAUUAGCUAGUUGGCGGGGUAACGGCCCACCAAGGCGACGAUCGAUAGCUGGUCUGAGAGGAUGAUCAGCCACACUGGAACUGAGACACGGUCCAGACUCCUACGGGAGGCAGCAGUAGGGAAUAUUGGACAAUGGGCGCAAGCCUGAUCCAGCCAUGCCGCGUGAGUGAAGAAGGCCCUCGGGUUGUAAAGCUCUUUUGUUGGGGAAGAAAAGCAGUUGGUUAAUACCCGAUUGUUCUGACGGUACCCAAAGAAUAAGCACCGGCUAACUUCGUG